AAAAAAGGUAAGCUACUAAGAGCGAAUGGUGGAUGCCUUGACUGGUAAAGGCGAUGAAGGACGUACUAGACUGCGAUAAGCUACGGGGAGCUGUCAAGAAGCUUUGAUCCGUAGAUUUCCGAAUGGGGCAACCCAAUGUAUAGAGAUAUACAUUACCUAUAUAGGAGCGAACGAGGGGAAUUGAAACAUCUUAGUACCCUCAGGAAAAGAAAUCAAUAGAGAUUGCGUCAGUAGCGGCGAGCGAAAGCGCAAGAGGGCAAACCCAGUGCUUGCACUGGGGGUUGUAGGACUGCAAUGUGCAAGAGGUGAGUUUAGCAGAACAUUCUGGAAAGUAUAGCCAUAGAGGGUGAUAGUCCCGUAUGCGAAAAACAAACCUUAGCUAGCAGUAUCCUGAGUAGGGCGGGACACGAGAAAUCCUGUCUGAAGCUGGGUCGACCACGAUCCAACCCUAAAUACUAAUACCAGAUCGAUAGUGCACAAGUACCGUGAGGGAAAGGUGAAAAGAACUGAGGUGAUCAGAGUGAAAUAGAACCUGAAACCAUUUGCUUACAAUCAUUCAGAGCACUAUGUAGCAAUACAGUGUGAUGGACUGCCUUUUGCAUAAUGAGCCUGCGAGUUGUGGUGUCUGGCAAGGUUAAGCAAACGCGAAGCCGUAGCGAAAGCGAGUCUGAAUAGGGCGCUUAGUCAGAUGCUGCAGACCCGAAACGAAGUGAUCUAUCCAUGAGCAAGUUGAAGCUAGUGUAAGAACUAGUGGAGGACUGAACCCAUAGGCGUUGAAAAGCCCCGGGAUGACUUGUGGAUAGGGGUGAAAGGCCAAUCAAACUUCGUGAUAGCUGGUUCUCUCCGAAAUAUAUUUAGGUAUAGCGUUGUGUCGUAAUAUAAGGGGGUAGAGCACUGAAUGGGCUAGGGCAUACACCAAUGUACCAAACCCUAUCAAACUCCGAAUACCUUAUAUGUAAUCACAGCAGUCAGGCGGCGAGUGAUAAAAUCCGUCGUCAAGAGGGAAACAACCCAGACUACCAGCUAAGGUCCCUAAAUCUUACUUAAGUGGAAAACGAUGUGAAGUUACUUAAACAACCAGGAGGUUGGCUUAGAAGCAGCCAUCCUUUAAAGAAAGCGUAAUAGCUCACUGGUCUAGUGAUUUUGCGCGGAAAAUAUAACGGGGCUAAAGUAAGUACCGAAGCUGUAGACUUGACUUUGUCAAGUGGUAGGAGAGCGUUCUAUUUGCGUCGAAGGUAUACCGGUAAGGAGUGCUGGAGCGAAUAGAAGUGAGCAUGCAGGCAUGAGUAGCGAUAAUUAAUGUGAGAAUCAUUAACGCCGUAAACCCAAGGUUUCCUACGCGAUGCUCGUCAUCGUAGGGUUAGUCGGGUCCUAAGUCGAGUCCGAAAGGGGUAGACGAUGGCAAAUUGGUUAAUAUUCCAAUACCAACAUUAGUGUGCGAUGGAAGGACGCUUAGGGCUAAGGGGGCUAGCGGAUGGAAGUGCUAGUCUAAGGUCGUAGGUGCUUAUACAGGCAAAUCCGUAUAAGAAUACACCGAGAACUGAAAGGCUUUUUGAAGUCUUCGGAUGGAUAGAAGAACCCCUGAUGCCGUCGAGCCAAGAAAAGUUUCUAAGUUUAGCUAAUGUUGCCCGUACCGUAAACCGACACAGGUGGGUGGGAUGAGUAUUCUAAGGCGCGUGGAAGAACUCUCUUUAAGGAACUCUGCAAAAUAGCACCGUAUCUUCGGUAUAAGGUGUGGUUCGCUUCGUAUUAGGAUUUACUCCGAAAGCGAAGAAACUUACAACAAAGAGUCCCUCCCGACUGUUUACCAAAAACACAGCACUCUGCUAACUCGUAAGAGGAUGUAUAGGGUGUGACGCCUGCCCGGUGCUCGAAGGUUAAUUGAUGGGGUUAGCAUUAGCGAAGCUCUUGAUCGAAGCCCGAGUAAACGGCGGCCGUAACUAUAACGGUCCUAAGGUAGCGAAAUUCCUUGUCGGUUAAAUACCGACCUGCAUGAAUGGCGUAACGAGAUGGGAGCUGUCUCAAAGAGGGAUCCAGUGAAAUUGUAGUGGAGGUGAAAAUUCCUCCUACCCGCGGCAAGACGGAAAGACCCCGUGGACCUUUACUACAGCUUGACACUGCUAUUUGGAUAAGAAUGUGCAGGAUAGGUGGGAGGCUUUGAGUAUAUGACGCCAGUUGUAUAUGAGCCAUUGUUGAGAUACCACUCUUUCUUAUUUGGGUAGCUAACCAGCUUGAGUUAUCCUCAAGUGGGACAAUGUCUGGUGGGUAGUUUGACUGGGGCGGUCGCCUCCCAAAUAAUAACGGAGGCUUACAAAGGUUGGCUCAGAACGGUUGGAAAUCGUUCGUAGAGUAUAAAGGUAUAAGCCAGCUUAACUGCAAGACAUACAAGUCAAGCAGAGACGAAAGUCGGUCUUAGUGAUCCGGUGGUUCUGUGUGGAAGGGCCAUCGCUCAAAGGAUAAAAGGUACCCCGGGGAUAACAGGCUGAUCUCCCCCAAGAGCUCACAUCGACGGGGAGGUUUGGCACCUCGAUGUCGGCUCAUCGCAUCCUGGGGCUGGAGCAGGUCCCAAGGGUAUGGCUGUUCGCCAUUUAAAGCGGUACGCGAGCUGGGUUCAGAACGUCGUGAGACAGUUCGGUCCCUAUCUGCCGUGGGCGUAAGAAGAUUGAAGAGAUUUGACCCUAGUACGAGAGGACCGGGUUGAACAAACCACUGGUGUAGCUGUUGUUCUGCCAAGAGCAUCGCAGCGUAGCUAAGUUUGGAAAGGAUAAACGCUGAAAGCAUCUAAGCGUGAAGCCAACUCUAAGAUGAAUCUUCUCUAAGCUCUCUAGAAGACUACUAGUUUGAUAGGCUGGGUGUGUAAUGGAUGAAAGUCCUUUAGCUGACCAGUACUAAUAGAGCGUUUGGCUUAUCUUUAAUAAAGCAU
RNAcentral lists this ribosomal RNA (2923 nucleotides) under Campylobacter coli. RNAcentral's name for it is "bacterial LSU rRNA". It matches the Rfam family "Bacterial large subunit ribosomal RNA". The record is from RNAcentral. RNAcentral also lists the same sequence under 1 other name. Lineage: Bacteria; Pseudomonadati; Campylobacterota; Epsilonproteobacteria; Campylobacterales; Campylobacteraceae.